AUGAAAAAGGAUGGUAUAUCAGUAUGUUUAAAAUCUGAUUAUGUGAUAUACAAAAGAUUACUCUUGUAUAUCGCAUAAUCUAUAAAUAAUAAAGUAAUAUACAGUUUUGUAGCUGACUCCUUGGUAAAUGUUACAAAAGCAUAAAAAACAGCACUACUAGUAACUCAAAACUUAUGUAAUGUUAUUUAUUUUACAAAUAAAUAAACAAAUGUUUUUGGUGAAACAUUCCGUAACAGCUAUAACAAAAGCCCUAGCCAGGCUGAGAAUGAUUAAUUGGCAGAAAGAGGAUACAAUGGCAGGUUUUGACUUUGAAAGCCUUUACCCGUCAUUAAAACUCAAACCCACUUGUAUGGCCUUUUAUAGAUUUUUAUUACAGAACAUUCUGGAGGCUAGCAGUAAAGUGCCAUAAUUAAGAGAAAUAGCCCAUCCAAUAUGCCAUGAGUCCUUCUUUAAAUUUGAUGGACAGUUUUGCCAGCAAUGUACAGGUGUAUCUGUAAGAAGUCAAUGGCAAGGCCACUAGCAGAGAUUGUACUAAGGAGUGUAGAACCAUGAAUAAUAGCUAGUCUUCAACCAGAUAUUGCCGUGUAUCUAAGG
RNAcentral lists this long non-coding RNA (594 nucleotides) under Androctonus crassicauda. The record is from RNAcentral. Lineage: Eukaryota; Metazoa; Arthropoda; Arachnida; Scorpiones; Buthidae.